CCUACGGGUGGCUGCAGUAGGGAAUAUUGCUCAAUGGGGGAAACCCUGAAGCAGCAACGCCGCGUGGAGGAUGAAGGUCUUCGGAUUGUAAACUCCUUUUGUUAGAGAAGAUAAUGACGGUAUCUAACGAAUAAUCACUGGCUAAUUCCGUGCCAGCAGCCGCGGUAAUACGGAGGGUGCAAGCGUUACUUGGAAUCACUGGGCGUAAAGAGCGUGUAGGCGGGAUGGCAAGUCAGAGGUGAAAUCCUAUGGCUUAACCAUAGAACUGCAUUCGAAACUGUUAAUCUAGAGUAUGGGAGAGGUUAGUGGAAUUCUAGGUGUAGGAGUAAAAUCCGUAGAGAUCAAGAGGAAUACUCAUUGCGAAGGCGACCUGCUAGCACAUAACUGACGCUGAUGCGCGAAAGCGUGGGGAGCAAACAGGAUUAGAUACCCUAGUAGUC
RNAcentral lists this ribosomal RNA (440 nucleotides) under uncultured bacterium. RNAcentral describes it as "partial 16S ribosomal RNA". It matches the Rfam family "Bacterial small subunit ribosomal RNA", at positions 338 to 795 of the family's 1533-position model. The record is from RNAcentral.